RNAcentral lists this unclassified non-coding RNA (604 nucleotides) under Meyerozyma guilliermondii. Its description in RNAcentral is "sequence contains 18S rRNA gene, ITS1, 5.8S rRNA gene, ITS2, 28S rRNA gene". The stretch from base 211 to 364 matches the Rfam family "5.8S ribosomal RNA". Lineage: Eukaryota; Fungi; Ascomycota; Pichiomycetes; Serinales; Debaryomycetaceae. The record is from RNAcentral.
GUAACAAGGUUUCCGUAGGUGAACCUGCGGAAGGAUCAUUACAGUAUUCUUUUGCCAGCGCUUAACUGCGCGGCGAAAAACCUUACACACAGUGUCUUUUUGAUACAGAACUCUUGCUUUGGUUUGGCCUAGAGAUAGGUUGGGCCAGAGGUUUAACAAAACACAAUUUAAUUAUUUUUACAGUUAGUCAAAUUUUGAAUUAAUCUUCAAAACUUUCAACAACGGAUCUCUUGGUUCUCGCAUCGAUGAAGAACGCAGCGAAAUGCGAUAAGUAAUAUGAAUUGCAGAUUUUCGUGAAUCAUCGAAUCUUUGAACGCACAUUGCGCCCUCUGGUAUUCCAGAGGGCAUGCCUGUUUGAGCGUCAUUUCUCUCUCAAACCCCCGGGUUUGGUAUUGAGUGAUACUCUUAGUCGGACUAGGCGUUUGCUUGAAAAGUAUUGGCAUGGGUAGUACUAGAUAGUGCUGUCGACCUCUCAAUGUAUUAGGUUUAUCCAACUCGUUGAAUGGUGUGGCGGGAUAUUUCUGGUAUUGUUGGCCCGGCCUUACAACAACCAAACAAGUUUGACCUCAAAUCAGGUAGGAAUACCCGCUGAACCUAAGCAUAU